Molecule: ribosomal RNA, 158 nt
Filed under: Sclerotinia sclerotiorum
Lineage: Eukaryota; Fungi; Ascomycota; Leotiomycetes; Helotiales; Sclerotiniaceae
Description: 5.8S ribosomal RNA
Rfam family: 5.8S ribosomal RNA (bases 30-158)
About the family: 5.8S ribosomal RNA (5.8S rRNA) is a component of the large subunit of the eukaryotic ribosome. It is transcribed by RNA polymerase I as part of the 45S precursor that also contains 18S and 28S rRNA.
Source: RNAcentral
AUGUCGUCUGAGUACUAUAUAAUAGUUAAAACUUUCAACAACGGAUCUCUUGGUUCUGGCAUCGAUGAAGUACGCAGCGAAAUGCGAUAAGUAAUGUGAAUUGCAGAAUUCAGUGAAUCAUCGAAUCUUUGAACGCACAUUGCGCCCCUUGGUAUUCC